RNAcentral lists this ribosomal RNA (406 nucleotides) under uncultured bacterium. RNAcentral describes it as "partial 16S ribosomal RNA". It matches the Rfam family "Bacterial small subunit ribosomal RNA", at positions 30 to 526 of the family's 1533-position model. The record is from RNAcentral.
AUUGAACGCUGGCGGCAGGCUUAACACAUGCAAGUCGAGCGAGCGGCGGACGGGUGGGUAAUGUCUGGGCAACUGCCUGAUGGAGGGGGAUAACUACUGGAAACGGUAGCUAAAACCGCAUAACAUCAGAUGUGCCCAGGUGGGAUUAGCUAGUGGGUGGGGUAAUGGCUCACCUAGGCGACGAUCCCUAACUGGUCUGAGAGGAUGACCAGCCACACUGGAACUGAGACACGGUCCAGACUCCUACGUGAGGCAGCAGUGGGGAAUAUUGCACAAUGGGCGCAAGCCUGAUACAGCCAUGCCGCGUGUAUGAAGAAGGCCUUCGGGUUGUAAAGUACUUUCAGCGGGGAGGCGUUACCCGCAGAAUAAGCACCGGCUAACUCCGUGCCAGCAGCCGCGGUAAUUC